This 253-nucleotide ribosomal RNA is filed under the name uncultured bacterium. Its description in RNAcentral is "partial 16S ribosomal RNA". It matches the Rfam family "Bacterial small subunit ribosomal RNA", at positions 524 to 776 of the family's 1533-position model. The record is from RNAcentral.
UACAGAGGGUGCAAGCGUUAAUCGGAAUUACUGGGCGUAAAGCGUGCGUAGUCGGUUAUUUAAGUCGGAUGUGAAAUCCCCGGGCUCAACCUGGGAACUGCGUCUGAUACUGGAUGGCUUGAAUCCGGGAGAGGGAUGCAGAAUUCCAGGUGUAGCGGUGAAAUGCGUAGAUAUCUGGAGGAAUACCGGUGGCGAAGGCGGCAUCCUGGACCGGCAUUGACGCUGAGGAGCGAAAGCGUGGGGAGCAAACAGG